AUGGUAGGAUAGAGGCCUACCAUGGUGGUAACGGGUAACGGGGUGUUAGGGCACGACACCGGAGAGGGAGCCUGAGAAACGGCUACCACAUCCAAGGAUGGCAGCAGGCGCGCAAAUUACCCAAUCCCGAUACGGGGAGGUAGUGACAAUAAAUAACAAUACGGGGUUCUUUAGGAUCUCGUAAUUGGAAUGAGUACAAUUUAAAUCUCUUAACGAGGAACAAUUGGAGGGCAAGUCUGGUGCCAGCAGCCGCGGUAAUUCCAGCUCCAAUAGCGUAUAUUAAAGCUGUUGCAGUUAAAAAGCUCGUAGUUGAAUUUCGGGGUCAGUAGGUCGGUCGUGCCACUGGUAUGAACUGGUUUUACUGAUUCCUCCCUCUUGAAGAACUGUAAUGCCAUUAAUUUGGUGUUGCAGGGAAUCAGGACUGUUACUUUGAAAAAAUUAGAGUGUUUAAAGCAGGCUUUAGCUUGAAUACAUUAGCAUGGAAUAAUGAAAUAGGACGUUUGAUCCUAUUUUGUUGGUUUCUAGGAUUGACGUAAUGAUUAAUAGGGAUAGUUGGGGGCAUUAGUAUUCAAUUGUCAGAGGUGAAAUUCUUGGAUUUAUUGAAGACUAACUACUGCGAAAGCAUUUGCCAAGGAUGUUUUCAUUAAUCAAGAACGAAAGUUAGGGGAUCGAAGACGAUCAGAUACCGUCGUAGUCUUAACCAUAAACUAUGCCGACUAGGGAUCGGAUGAUGUUAAUUUUUUAAUGACUCAUUCGGCGCCUUACGGGAAACCAAAGUGUUUGGG
RNAcentral lists this ribosomal RNA (785 nucleotides) under uncultured Glomus. Its description in RNAcentral is "SSU rRNA". It matches the Rfam family "Eukaryotic small subunit ribosomal RNA", at positions 325 to 1111 of the family's 1831-position model. The record is from RNAcentral. Lineage: Eukaryota; Fungi; Glomeromycota; Glomeromycetes; Glomerales; Glomeraceae.